GAUGAAGAACGUAGCGAAAUGCGAUAAGUAAUGUGAAUUGCAGAAUUCAGUGAAUCAUCGAAUCUUUGAACGCACAUUGCGCCCGCCAGUAUUCUGGCGGGCAUGCCUGUUCGAGCGUCAUUUCAACCAUCAAGCCCUGCUUGCGUUGGGGUCCUGCGGCUACCCGCAGGCCCUGAAAACCAGUGGCGGGCUCGCUAGUCACACCGAGCGCAGUAAUACAUCUCGCUUUGGGCGUGCGGCGGGUUCUUGCCGUUAAACACCCCCUUUUUACCAAGGUUGACCUCGGAUCAGGUAGGAAUACCCGCUGAACUUAAGCAUAUCAAUAAGCGGAGGA
RNAcentral lists this unclassified non-coding RNA (334 nucleotides) under soil metagenome. RNAcentral's name for it is "partial contains 5.8S ribosomal RNA, internal transcribed spacer 2, and large subunit ribosomal RNA". The stretch from base 1 to 120 matches the Rfam family "5.8S ribosomal RNA", at positions 35 to 154 of the family's 154-position model. The record is from RNAcentral.